This is a long non-coding RNA of Xenia sp. Carnegie-2017, 89 nucleotides long. RefSeq lists it as uncharacterized. The transcript has 3 exons. The record is from RefSeq and is a predicted model, not a curated record. Lineage: Eukaryota; Metazoa; Cnidaria; Anthozoa; Malacalcyonacea; Xeniidae.
UAAUGUUAUAAUUCAUAUGUAUCAAAAAAUUAAAAAAGAGAUAUGCCGCGUAUUUAACAACAACGGAUUGCGUAUCACUAUCGAAGCUA